This 1243-nucleotide ribosomal RNA is filed under the name metagenome. RNAcentral's name for it is "bacterial LSU rRNA". It matches the Rfam family "Bacterial large subunit ribosomal RNA", at positions 1564 to 2815 of the family's 2925-position model. The record is from RNAcentral.
UGAAUACGAGAUGCUACGGCGUCGAAGCAGUGUAUGUCAGACUUCCAAGAAAAGCUCGCAAUGUCAUAAAUAAAGAAUGCCUGUACCAUAACCGACACAGGUGGGUAGGUAGAGUAUACUAAGGGGCGCGAGAUAACUCUCUCUAAGGAACUCGGCAAAAUAACUCCGUAACUUCGGGAGAAGGAGUGCCUUCUUGAAGAAGGUUGCAAUAACAAGAUCCAAGCAACUGUUUAUCAAAAACACAGGUCUCCGCUAAGUCGAAAGACGAUGUAUGGGGGCUGACGCCUGCCCAGUGCCAGAAGGUUAAAGAAGCUGGUUAGCAAUAGCGAAGCUGGUGACUGAAGCCCUGGUGAACGGCGGCCGUAACAAUAACGGUCCUAAGGUAGCGAAAUUCCUUGUCGGGUAAGUUCCGACCCGCACGAAAGGCGUAAUGAUUUGGAUACUGUCUCGGAGAGGGACUCGGUGAAAUAGACUUGUCUGUGAAGAUGCGGACUACCUGCACCAGGACAGAAAGACCCUAUGAAGCUUUACUGUAACUUGAAAUUGAAAUUGGACUUUAUUUGCGCAGUAUAGGUGGAAGGCGUUGAGAUUACUCUUGCGGGAUUAGUGGAGCCAUCAGUGAGAUACCACUCCUAUAAUGUUAGAUUUCUAACUUUGGAUCAUAAUCUGGUCAAAGAACAGUUUCAGGCGGGCAGUUUGACUGGGGCGGUCGCCUCCCAAAUGGUAACGGAGGCGUACAAAGGUUUCCUCUGAACGGGUAGAAAUCGUAUCUAGAGUGUAAAGGCAUAAGGAAGCUUGACUGUGAGACCUACAAGUCGAGCAGGGACGAAAGUCGGUCUUAGUGAUCUGACGGUGCUGAGUGGAAAGGCCGUCACUCAACGGAUAAAAGUUACUCUAAGGAUAACAGGCUGAUCUCCCCCAAGAGUUCACAUCGACGGGGAGGUUUGGCACCUCGAUGUCGGCUCAUCGCAUCCUGGGGCGGUAGUACGUCCCAAGGGUUGGGCUGUUCGCCCAUGAAAGCGGUACGCGAGCUGGGUUCAGAACGUCGUGAGACAGUUCGGUCCAUAUCCGGUGUAGGCGUUAGAAUAUUGAGAGGAGCCUUCUUUAGUACGAGAGGACCGAGAAGGACAUACCUCUGGUGUACCAGUUAUCGUGCCAACGGUAAACGCUGGGUAGCUAUGUAUGGAGAGGAUAACCGCUGAAAGCAUCUAAGUGGGAAGCCCACCUCAAGAUGAGUAUUCCC